This 348-nucleotide ribosomal RNA is filed under the name uncultured bacterium. RNAcentral's name for it is "partial 16S ribosomal RNA". It matches the Rfam family "Bacterial small subunit ribosomal RNA", at positions 338 to 703 of the family's 1533-position model. The record is from RNAcentral.
CCUACGGGUGGCAGCAGUGGGGAAUAUUGCACAAUGGGGGAAACCCUGAUGCAGCGACGCCGCGUGAGUGAAGAAGGAAUUCGGUACGUAAAGCUCUAUCAGCAGGGAAGAAAAGGACGGUACCUGAGUAAGAAGACCCGGCUAACGACGUGCCAGCAGCCGCGGUAAUACGUAGGGGGCAAGCGUUAUCCGGAUUUACUGGGGGUAAAGGGAGCGUAGACGGUGCGCCAAGUCUGGAGUGAAAUGCCGCCGCUUAACGGCGGAACUGCUUUGGAAACGGGCGAACUAGAGUGCGGGAGGGGUAAGCGGAAUUCCUUCUGUAGCGGUGAACUGCUUAGAUAUUAGGAG